UAAUACGGAAGGGGCAAGCGUUGUUCGGAAUCAUUGGGCGUAAAGGGCGCGUAGGUGGUCUUGUAUGUCUUCCGUGAAAGCCCACAGCUCAACUGUGGUGUGUCGGGAGAAACUGCAGGACUUGAGGCUGGGAGGGGCUGGUGGAAUUCCCUGUGUAGCGGUGAAAUGCGUAGAGAUGGGGGAGAACACUCGUGGCGAAGGCGGCCAGCUAGACCAGUUCUGACACUGAGGCGCGAUAGCGUGGGGAGCAAACAGGAUUAGAUACCCUGGUAGUCCACGCUGUAAACGAUGGGCACUAGGUGCCGGCGGUCUUGAUCCCGUCGGUGCCGGCGCUAACGCAGUAAGUGCCCCGCCUGGGGAGUACGGUCGCAAGGCUG
This 377-nucleotide ribosomal RNA is filed under the name uncultured bacterium. Its description in RNAcentral is "bacterial SSU rRNA". It matches the Rfam family "Bacterial small subunit ribosomal RNA", at positions 521 to 896 of the family's 1533-position model. The record is from RNAcentral.